AUUGAACGCUGGCGGCAGGCCUAACACAUGCAAGUCGAGCGAGCGGCGGACGGGUGAGUAAUGUCUGGGAACCUGCCUGUUAGCGGGGGAUAACUACUGGAAACGGUAGCUAAUCCCGCAUACCAUCAGAUGUGCCCUGUUGGGAUUAGCUGGUAGGUGGGGUAACGGCUCACCUAGGCGACGAUCCCUAGCUGGUCUGAGAGGUUGAUCGGCCACACUGGGACUGAGACACGGCCCAGACUCCUACGGGAGGCAGCAGUGGGGAAUAUUGGACAAUGGACGCAAGCCUGAUGGAGCAAUGCCGCGUGAGUGAAGAAGGCCUUCGGGUUGUAAAGCACUGUCAGCGGGGAGGCGUUACCCGCAGAAGAAGCACCGGCUAACUACGUGCCAGCAGCCGCGGUAAUUC
Molecule: ribosomal RNA, 406 nt
Filed under: uncultured bacterium
Lineage: Bacteria
Description: partial 16S ribosomal RNA
Rfam family: Bacterial small subunit ribosomal RNA
Source: RNAcentral